CGGAACACGUACAGAACCUCCUUUAAGCGGGGAUAGCCCAUAGAAAUGUGGAUUAAUACCCCAUAAUAUUAUUGACUGGCAUCAGUUGAUAAUUAAAGAUUUAUCACUUAAAGAUGGCUGUGCGGCUGAUUAGGUAGUUGGUUGGGGUAACGGCCCACCAAGCCAUCGAUCAGUAACUGGUGUGAGAGCACGACCAGUCACACGGGCACUGAGACACGGGCCCG
RNAcentral lists this ribosomal RNA (224 nucleotides) under uncultured bacterium. Its description in RNAcentral is "partial 16S ribosomal RNA". It matches the Rfam family "Bacterial small subunit ribosomal RNA", at positions 109 to 334 of the family's 1533-position model. The record is from RNAcentral.